CCUACGGGAGGCAGCAGUGGGGAAUAUUGCACAAUGGGGGAAACCCUGAUGCAGCGAAGACGCGUGAGUGAAGAAGUAGGGCGGGAUGUAAAGCUCUAUCAGCAGGGAAGAAAAUGACGGUACCUGAUUAAGAAGCCCCGGCUAACUACGUGCCAGCAGCCGCGGUAAUACGUAGGGGGCAAGCGUUAUCAGGAUUUACUGGGUGUAAAGGGAGCGUAGACGGCAGCACAAGUCUGGAGUGAAAUGCCGGGGCUUAACCCCGGAACUGCUUUGGAAACUGUGCAGCUAGAGUGCAGGAGAGGUAAGUGGAAUUCCUAGUGUAGCGGUGAAAUGCGUAGAUAUUAGGAGGAACACCAGUGGCGAAGGCGGCUUACUGGACUGUAACUGACGUUGAGGCACGAAAGCGUGGGUAUCGAACAGGAUUAGAUACCCGAGUAGUC
This 440-nucleotide ribosomal RNA is filed under the name uncultured bacterium. RNAcentral describes it as "partial 16S ribosomal RNA". It matches the Rfam family "Bacterial small subunit ribosomal RNA", at positions 338 to 795 of the family's 1533-position model. The record is from RNAcentral.